AUCUCCCUAGUAUUAAUGUUAGUACAAGUGACUUCCAAUCAUUGAGUCUUGGUUAAACCCCAAGGAGAGAUA
RNAcentral lists this transfer RNA (72 nucleotides) under Polyacanthonotus rissoanus (smallmouth spiny eel). Its description in RNAcentral is "tRNA-Gly". It matches the Rfam family "tRNA". From Rfam's summary of the family: Transfer RNA (tRNA) molecules are approximately 80 nucleotides in length. The record is from RNAcentral. Lineage: Eukaryota; Metazoa; Chordata; Actinopteri; Notacanthiformes; Notacanthidae.